This 374-nucleotide ribosomal RNA is filed under the name uncultured bacterium. RNAcentral describes it as "bacterial SSU rRNA". It matches the Rfam family "Bacterial small subunit ribosomal RNA", at positions 28 to 361 of the family's 1533-position model. The record is from RNAcentral.
GAUGAACGCUGGCGGCGUGCCUAAUACAUGCAAGUCGAACGCAUUGUGGUUGAAAUGAUAUGAAGAACUUGUUCAGAUUUGAUUUUCAACAUUGCAAUGAGUGGCGAACGGGUGAGUAACACGUGGGAGACCUACCUCUUAGCAGGGGAUAACAUUUGGAAACAAAUGCUAAUACCGUAUAAUAAUUAAAAACCGCAUGGUUUUAGUUUAAAAGAUGGUCUUGCUAUCACUAAGAGAUGGUCCCGCGGUGUAUUAGUUAGUUGGUGAGGUAAUGGCUCACCAAGACAAUGAUACAUAGCCGAGUUGAGAGACUGACCGGCCACAAUGGGACUGAGACACGGCCCGAUACUCCUACGGGAGGCAGCAGUAGGGAA